This 279-nucleotide ribosomal RNA is filed under the name uncultured bacterium. Its description in RNAcentral is "partial 16S ribosomal RNA". It matches the Rfam family "Bacterial small subunit ribosomal RNA", at positions 506 to 784 of the family's 1533-position model. The record is from RNAcentral.
UGCCAGCCGCCGCGGUAAUACGGAGGGUGCAAGCGUUAAUCGAAAUUACUGGGCGUAAAGCGCGCGUAGGCGGUUAUUUAGGUCAGAUGUGAAAGCCCAGGGCUCAACCUUGGAACUGCAUUUGAAACUGGAUAACUUGAGUAUGGUAGAGGUAAGCGGAAUUUCCAGUGUAGCAGUGAAAUGCGUAGAGAUUGGAAGGAAUAUCGAUGGCGAAGGCAGCUUACUGGGCCAAUACUGACGCUGAGGUGCGAAAGCGUGGGUAGCGAACGGGAUUAGAUA